This 4381-nucleotide long non-coding RNA is filed under the name Brassica napus (rape). Its description in RNAcentral is "long non-coding RNA (BNAP_LNC010753)". The record is from RNAcentral. Lineage: Eukaryota; Viridiplantae; Streptophyta; Magnoliopsida; Brassicales; Brassicaceae.
GGGACGUCAGUUGGAGGGUUCGGCCACUUCCAUUGAGUCAGUGAAAGCAAGUUCUGAUGAGGGGACACUCACCACACCAAGAAAAACUCGCAAGGGUAGCAUGAAAACCCUGAAGGUGGGAUUCAAAUCUUUUAAGCUGACCUUGGGCGUACGCAAAAAGAAGAAACAGAAAAAGAGAAGAUCAAGUGCUACAGAUCAAGAGCGUUCCACUUCACAGAUAACUAGCGAAGUUGCUUCUUCUGGCUCGGGUUGCUUGUAUGGAAAGGAUAACUGUGUCAAUCUCCAUGAUGAAAAGAUAAGGAGUCGUAAUGGGAAUGUGUUGCUUGGCUCUCCAGCCGUAGAGCUCAAGGAGAGAAGUAAUCAAAAUGGUGCCGUUCUUGCGUCAGACCAAGAGCAAACGUUGAAGAGCUCUGACAUGUCUGAAGCAAGCCAAAACGCCAAAAGAAAGAGAGAGAGCGCAAAAGAAGAACAAAACUCUUUACAAAAAGAACAGGUGACCAUUCUUACACGUGGUUUGCCAGAGACAGUGGGUAAGCCUUCCCUCUUCUCAACUGUAUUGCUAUAACGAACUUUAUCCAGUUAGGAGAUAACACCUAUCAUUCUCCAAAUGCAUCAAUCAAGCCGUUGACCUGAGCAAGAGCUCUUAGAAUAUGCAAUUGUGUUUGAUGGGAUUAAGUCUUAUGAACCAUUGCAGUUGCCAAAUGGGAUGAGGAAGUUUCAGCUUCUAAGAUGAGAAAGAGUGAAGAAGACUCGAGAAUCGGAUAUGUAGCAGAUGAGUGGUGAGCUCGAGAUUUAUGUUUUGGUUAUUAUAUUAUUGGGCAGUUGUUUUACAUGAUAAAUGGUAUUGGGAUUGUGGCAGGGAUGAAGAAUAUGAUAGAGGGAAGAAGAAGAAGAUAAGGAUGAAAGAGGAGAUGUAUGCAGGGCCGAACCCGUUCCAGUUGUUUCCGUCGAAGAAACAACAUACAGAUACAAAGAAGAAAUGGACGCAACGCAUGAAUACUGCAAAGACAGGCUUCCGGAUAUGAUGAAUAAGUAAGACCAUCCAUAAUCUAUUAAAAAAAAAAAAAAUUGUAAUCCACAUGUUGCUGCUGUAUUUGCCUUGAGAGUAGUAAUGUUAACAAGAGAGGUUAUAUAGACACUAGAAGUUGUUUUCAUCUCUUGUCCUCAGUUUUGUUCUGUUUGUGAUGAAACAAAGAGUUGACACAUCCCCUUACUCUUUAAACUCUCGUCUUGUAGUAUCUCUUUUUGCUCCACCAAUAAUAAUAUGCUUAUUCAUUUACAGUGUAAGGCAGUUUUUCAUCGCAGACAGCUUUCGGGAGCAAACAAAAAGAUAAAGCAAAAAAAAUAGAAUAAAAAACGGAAAGCAGUUCAUUCAGGGAAUCAGAAAACGUCACGUAGUUGAAGACGUUGGGGUAUAAAAACUAACUCCCUCCCUCCACCACAAUCUUCGAGAGGGUCACUUCAAUAUUAUCCAACCAUGAGCUCGUUUUUGUUUCCUUCUUCUUCUCCGAUUCCCAAAUCUCACUGGCGCGCGAACUCCAUCCCUAAACCUAAUCGCCCGAUUACACUCUCUCUUCUUCAUGGAAACUCCUAUUCGUGGAGGUUAUCUUGUAAACUCAGUCUCGAUUAUUUCGAGGAAAGCGUGGAGGAAGAUGAAAUCCCUCAGUUUCUCGACUUCUCUGCGGAGGGGGAGGAGCCAGAUUUGGAGAAAGAAACGGUUUCUGCUCCAACUAUGACGCUGAUGCAGAGGAAGAAGAAGAAAGGAGAUGAAGAGAGCUUAGAAGAUAGAUUCAAGCUCAGAAAUGGAAAGGAGGUUGCAACCCCCUUCUUCUUUUGUUAUGGUUUUAGUGUUAAAGAAGCAGAAAAUCAUUUUUGUGAAGGUCUGGAGAAUCUCGGGAAUACAUGUUUUCUCAAUUCGGUAGUGCAGUGUUUGACUUACACGGAGCCUUUAGCUGCUUACCUGCAAGAUGUGGGCCAUGGGAGACGAUGUAAGUUGCUUUUAAGAUGCUAUGGUUAAUUCUUAUACUAAGUGAGUGUCUGAGACAAUGUUCGUAUCAAAACGUUUGGUUGUAGGUCAUAUGGCUGGGUUCUGUGCUUUAUGUGCAAUGCAGAAGCAUGUCAGGCUUGCUCUUCAAGCUAGUGGCAAAAUAGUAGCACCCAAAUAUUUGGUCUCCAACUUGCGAUGUAAUGCUUCUCAGAACCUUGCCCUGUUUGAACUAUUAGUGUGCCAAUUACUAAUCAGAGACUAAUGAGGGAUGAUUCUCAACUGGUUGAUUAGGCGUAUCAAGAAACUUCAGAAACUGUCGACAGGAAGAUGCACAUGAAUACAUGAUCAACUUGCUGGAGUGCAUGCACAGGUGUUGUUUGCCUUCUGGUGUACCAAGUGAAUCCUCUGAUGCUUACAGGAGCAGCUUGGUUCACAAAAUAUUUGGUGGUAGCCUCCGUAGUCGGGUAAAGUUGCAUCCUUUGGAGCAUAUAUUUUACCUAUGGCCUCAGCUUUUUCUAAUAUUUUUUAUUGUUCAGGUGAAAUGCGCGCAAUGUUCACAUUGCUCAGACAAGUUUGAUCCGUUUCUUGACCUGAGUCUAGACAUUUCGAAGGCAGAUUCACUGCAGAGAGCACUUUCACGCUUCACUGCUGAUGAGCUCUUAGAUGAUGGUGCAAAAGUUUACCAGUGUGAAAGAUGCAAGCAGAAGGUUAGGGCUGUAAAACAGCUAACUGUUUCUAAAGCGCCUUAUGUCCUAACUGUACAUCUCAAACGGUUCGAAGCGCACAGAUCCGAAAAAAUCGACAAGAAGGUCCAGUUUGCCUCUGCAGUUGACAUGAAACCUUUUGUCAGUGGUCCCUGUGUAAGUAGACCUCGUCUUGUGCUCUAUUUUCUAAGAUUUUGACAUGUUCUUGGAGUUGUUUAGAUAAUCUGGUUCAUGUACUUGUGUUGAACAGGCAGGUAAUUUGAAGUACACUCUAUAUGGUGUUUUGGUUCAUUAUGGUCGAAGUAGUCAUUCUGGUCACUACGCCUGCUUUGUUCGCACUUCAAGUGGCAUGUGGUAUUCCCUUGAUGACAACAGGGUAAGCAGCGAUGUUUCUACGUUCUUUUGGGUCGCAAAUUGUACAUAGGUUCCUUGUGGUAAGUUCCUCUUUACAUUGUUGGUGUAGGUUUCCAAAGUUAGUGAGAAUACUGUGUUCAAUCAGAAGGCGUAUAUGCUAUUCUAUGUUCGUGAUAGACAAAACCCAGCCCCAAAGAACACGGUUGCCGUGGUUAAUAAAGAGACUCCCAGAGAGAGCGUUGCCACAAACAGAGCUUCUUUGAAUAUAUUCUCUAGCCGAAAUGAUCAAGUGAAUGGCUCAGGUGUCAUGAAAGCAUCUAGUUUAAAGGCUCCUGUAGCCAAUAGUAUAGCACCCUUGAGAUCAUGUGAUAAAGGUUCUCCUGCUGUCUUGACCCAAAAAGAUUUGAAUGCUAAAGAGACUCAGAAAGAUGCCCCAAGCAUUGUAGAGGCAAAAGGGAUACUAAAGAGGGAAAAUGAUACAGAACCAUUAGAAUCAUGUGAUAAAGGUGCUCCUGCUGUCUUGGCCCAAAAAGAUUUAAAUGCCAAAGAGACUCAGAAAGAACUUUCCAGCAGUGUGGAGGCAAAUGGGAUCCUUAAGAGGGAAAAUGGUUCAGCACCCUUGAAACCAUGUGAUCUACGUGCUCCUGCUGUCUCAACACAGAAAGUUUUAUGUACCAAAGAGACCCUUCAGAAGGAAGUGCCACUUCCACAGGCUAAUGGGGAAGUAUCUUUGGUAAAGUAUGGUUCCAAGGCUGCGUGCACAGUAUUACUAGGGAAGGAUUCUCUUCUCCUGGAAGGCAGCACAAACACUCAAAUUCUCGUCAACUUGCCUGCUUCCGCAGCUAAAGAUGGAAAUAACUUGAAAGAGGCUGCCAAUUCACUGAAGGUGAGUGUACAAUUAAUUACCUACCUUCACGAGUCAGCAUCUUGUUUUGUAUGGCCACCUUUUUUAUUAAUGGGAUUGAGUGUUUCUAACUUGCAUUUGGCUAUGCUCUCCAGGUUAGAGAUGUAUCGGUUGGUAAUUCUCCUAUUGAAGAAGCUGUUCAUGUUAAUCAGACUUUGGGACGUCAGUUGGAGGGUUCGGCCACUUCCAUUGAGUCAGUGAAAGCAAGUUCUGAUGAGGGGACUCUCACCACACCAAGAAAAACUCGCAAGGGUAGCAUGAAAACCCUGAAGGUGGGAUUCAAAUCUUUUAAGCUGACCUUGGGCGUACGCAAAAAGAAGAAACAGAAAAAGAGAAGAUCAAGUGCUACAGAUCAAGAGCGUUCCACUUCACAGAUAACUAGCGAAGUUGCUUCUUCUGGCUCGGGUUGCUUGUAUGGAAAGGAUAACUGUG